This 458-nucleotide ribosomal RNA is filed under the name Terrisswalkerius montislewisi. Its description in RNAcentral is "partial 16S ribosomal RNA". It matches the Rfam family "Bacterial large subunit ribosomal RNA", at positions 1848 to 2596 of the family's 2925-position model. The record is from RNAcentral. Lineage: Eukaryota; Metazoa; Annelida; Clitellata; Crassiclitellata; Megascolecidae.
GUAGUAUAUUCCUGCCCAGUGACUAAAGUUCAACGGCCGCGGUAUCUUAACCGUGCAAAGGUAGCAUAAUCAUUUGCCUAUUAAUUGUAGGCUAGCAUGAAAGGAUAAACGAAAUAAAAACUGUCUCAAUUAAUCAACUAAAAAUUAUUUUUUACAUGAAGAAAUGUAAAUAAAUUCGAAGGACAAGAAGACCCUAUAGAGCUUUAUUUAAAUGUAUUAUACAACUACAUAUAAUUCGGUUGGGGCGACCCUGGGACUAUAAAACACCCAAUAAUAAAUAGAUUUCUUAAUCAAUCAUCUGACCCUUAAAAGAUCAUAAAAUUAAGCUACCUUAGGGAUAACAGGCUAAUCCCAUUAAAGAGUCCAUAUCUAUAAUGGGGGUUGGCACCUCGAUGUUGGCUUAGGGUAUCAAUAUAACGCAAAAGUUAUAUAAUGAUGGUUUGUUCAACCAAUAACCC